AAUCCGGUGAAUUCAGUGGUU
Molecule: non-coding RNA, 21 nt
Filed under: Arabidopsis thaliana (thale cress)
Lineage: Eukaryota; Viridiplantae; Streptophyta; Magnoliopsida; Brassicales; Brassicaceae
Source: RNAcentral